AACGAACGCUGGCGGCAGGCUUAACACAUGCAAGUCGAACGGUUGUAGCAAUACAGCAGUGGCAGACGGGUGAGUAACACGUGGGAACCUUCCUAGGGGUACGGAACAACUCAGGGAAACUUGAGCUAAUACCGUAUACGUCCGUGAGGAGAAAGAUUUAUCGCCCUUAGACGGGCCCGCGUCGGAUUAGCUAGUUGGUGGGGUAACGGCCUACCAAGGCGACGAUCCGUAGCUGAUCUUAGAGGAUGAUCAGCCACACUGGGACUGAGACACGGCCCAGACUCCUACGGGAGGCAGCAGUGGGGAAUCUUGGACAAUGGGCGCAAGCCUGAUCCAGCCAUGCCGCGUGAGUGAAGAAGGUCUUCGGAUUGUAAAGCUCUUUUGCCUAGGGACGAUAAUGACGGUACCUGGAGAAU
RNAcentral lists this ribosomal RNA (416 nucleotides) under uncultured bacterium. RNAcentral's name for it is "bacterial SSU rRNA". It matches the Rfam family "Bacterial small subunit ribosomal RNA", at positions 29 to 487 of the family's 1533-position model. The record is from RNAcentral.